Molecule: ribosomal RNA, 35 nt
Filed under: Phellinus tuberculosus
Lineage: Eukaryota; Fungi; Basidiomycota; Agaricomycetes; Hymenochaetales; Hymenochaetaceae
Description: partial 25S ribosomal RNA
Source: RNAcentral
GUAGGAUUACCCGCUGAACUUAAGCAUAUCAAUAA